ACGCUGGCGGCGUGCCUAACACAUGCAAGUCGAGCGAAGUGAUUUCAGAUGAGAUCUUCGGAAGGAUUCUGAAAUCAUCUUAGCGGCGGACGGGUGAGUAACGCGUGAGAAACCUGCCUUUCACAAAGGGAUAGCCUCGGGAAACUGGGAUUAAUACCAUAUGACACUUGCACCUCGCAUGAGGAGCAAGUUAAAGCGUAAAGCGGUGAAAGAUGGUCUCGCGUCCUAUUAGCUAGUUGGUGAGGUAACGGCUCACCAAGGCGAUGAUAGGUAGCCGGCCUGAGAGGGUGAACGGCCACACUGGAACUGAGACACGGUCCAGACUCCUACGGGAGGCAGCAGUGGGGAAUAUUGCACAAUGGAGGAAACUCUGAUGCAGCGACGCCGCGUGAAUGAUGAAGGCCUUCGGGUCGUAAAAUUCUGUCCUUGGGGAAGAUAAUGACGGUACCCAAGGAGGAAGCCCCGGCUAACUACGUGCCAGCCGCCGC
Molecule: ribosomal RNA, 488 nt
Filed under: uncultured bacterium
Lineage: Bacteria
Description: bacterial SSU rRNA
Rfam family: Bacterial small subunit ribosomal RNA
Source: RNAcentral